UUUAGAUGGCGACCGGCGCACGGGUGAGUAACACGUAUCCAACCUGCCGAUGACUCGGGGAUAGCCUUUCGAAAGAAAGAUUAAUACCCGAUGGCAUAGUUCUUCCGCAUGGUGGAACUAUUAAAGAAUUUCGGUCAUCGAUGGGGAUGCGUUCCAUUAGGUUGUUGGCGGGGUAACGGCCCACCAAGCCUUCGAUGGAUAGGGGUUCUGAGAGGAAGGUCCCCCACAUUGGAACUGAGACACGGUCCAAACUCCUACGGGAGGCAGCAUG
RNAcentral lists this ribosomal RNA (271 nucleotides) under uncultured bacterium. Its description in RNAcentral is "partial 16S ribosomal RNA". It matches the Rfam family "Bacterial small subunit ribosomal RNA", at positions 83 to 353 of the family's 1533-position model. The record is from RNAcentral.